This 826-nucleotide long non-coding RNA is filed under the name Ornithorhynchus anatinus (platypus). Its description in RNAcentral is "lncRNA (ENSOANG00000044480.1)". The record is from RNAcentral. Lineage: Eukaryota; Metazoa; Chordata; Mammalia; Monotremata; Ornithorhynchidae.
UACUUAGGGAGUCACAUUAGUGCAGUUGCCUGAAAGUAACUCUAACCCAUUCUCUUUUGCAGGUAGUUGGUUUCAUCGGCUUAGCUGCCCUUCAUCUUCACUAUCACCCCAGGGAAGGGACUUCUCUUUAGUCCCUUCUCUCUGAAACUGACAGUACUGAAUGGAUCUACUGCUGAAACAACAGAGAAGCCUCACUGGAUUGAAAAGGGUCAAUAAUUCCUUAUCAUGAUCCAUAUGGACUUGUUGCUCUCAAGAGCCUAGGAAAACAAACAACGCCAAAGCUAAUUCUUCCCGGAAAAAAGAUAAAUGCAUCAGAUGUAAAAGAAACGUGUUCCAUCUAGUACCUUUCAUGCAAAUUUUCAAACCAUCUGCAAAAUCAGUCCCUGUGUUCUGAAGGAUACAGCGAGAAAACCACCUAAAAAUGAGGCAGAAAACAAAGCCUUAAUGUGAAAAAUCUCACAGAGAAAAAGCUUAUUAAAGAAACAGGAUCAUAGUUACAGAACAUGGACUAGGUUUAAUGACUAUUACCUCUUCUUCCUGAACUUUUUAAGCUUUCCAAGUAACUUCUACAAUGCAUCCUUCUAAAAGGAAACUUCAGGCCACCCUGCGAGGUCUGCCCGGCAACUGCAGGCAGAUUUUGCCACUGAACUCAGCCACGUGGGACUGAAGAAUCCCAGGUGAACUGCAAGCAUCAGGCCCAGGCACUGACUCCCUUGAGGUGCAUCGGGUUACAUAUUUAGAAAACGGGCAGGGCCAGCAGGGAGAACGAUCUGGUCAGGCUUAGCCCCGCUCUGCUGCUGAGGGCUGAGCCCCCAGAACAGGCUGU